UCCAGACUCCUACGGGAGGCAGCAGUGGGGGAUAUUGCACAAUGGGGGGAACCCUGAUGCAGCGACGCCGCGUGGGUGAAGGAGCGUUUCGGCGCGUAAAGCCCUAUCGGCAGGGAAGAAGGAGGACGGUACCUGACUAAGAAGCCCCGGCUAACUACGUGCCAGCAGCCGCGGUAAUACGUAGGGAGCAAGCGUUAUCCGGAUUUAUUGGGUGUAAAGGGUGCGUAGACGGGAAGGCAAGUUGGUUGUGAAAUCCCUCGGCUUAACUGAGGAACUGCAACCAAAACUAUCUUUCUUGAGUGCUGGAGAGGAAAGUGGAAUUCCUAGUGUAGCGGUGAAAUGCGUAGAUAUUAGGAGGAACACCGGUGGCGAAGGCGGCCUGCUGGACUGCGACUGACGUUGAGGCCCGAAAGCGUGGGGAGCAAACAGGAUUAGAUACCCCCGUAUG
RNAcentral lists this ribosomal RNA (448 nucleotides) under uncultured bacterium. RNAcentral's name for it is "partial 16S ribosomal RNA". It matches the Rfam family "Bacterial small subunit ribosomal RNA", at positions 330 to 793 of the family's 1533-position model. The record is from RNAcentral.